Molecule: transfer RNA, 83 nt
Filed under: Chloroflexota bacterium
Lineage: Bacteria; Bacillati; Chloroflexota
Description: Chloroflexi bacterium tRNA-Leu
Rfam family: tRNA
About the family: Transfer RNA (tRNA) molecules are approximately 80 nucleotides in length. Their secondary structure includes four short double-helical elements and three loops (D, anti-codon, and T loops).
Source: RNAcentral
GCCGGUGUGGCGGAAUUGGCAGACGCGAUCGACUCAAAAUCGAUUGUCCUUUGGACUUGUGGGUUCGACUCCCACCACCGGCA